RNAcentral lists this ribosomal RNA (183 nucleotides) under uncultured bacterium. Its description in RNAcentral is "partial 16S ribosomal RNA". It matches the Rfam family "Bacterial small subunit ribosomal RNA", at positions 1319 to 1500 of the family's 1533-position model. The record is from RNAcentral.
CAUGAAGCUGGAGUUACUAGUAAUCGCAGAUCAGAAUGCUGCGGUGAAUGCGUUCCCGGGUCUUGUACACACCGCCCGUCACACCACGGAAGUUGGGGCGCCCGAAGCCACUUAGCUAACCCUUUUGGGAAGCGAGUGUCGAAGGUGAAAUCAAUAACUGGGGUGAAGUCGUAACAAGGUAUC